ACGGAAGGCAGCAGUGGGGAAUAUUGGACAAUGGGGGAAACCCUGAUCCAGCGACGCCGCGUGAGUGAAGAAGUAUUUCGGUAUGUAAAGCUCUAUCAGCAAGGAAGAAAAUGACGGUACUUGACUAAGAAGCCCCGGCUAACUACGUGCCAGCAGCCGCGGUAAUACGUAGGGGGCAAGCGUUAUCCGGAUUUACUGGGUGUAAAGGGGGCGUAGACGGCAUAGCAAGUCUGAAGUGAAAUGCAUGGGCUCAACCCAUGAACUGCUUUGGAAACUGUUAAGCUAGAGUGCAGGAGAGGUAAGUGGAAUUCCUAGUGUAGCGGUGAAAUGCGUAGAUAUUAGGAGGAACACCAGUGGCGAAGGCGGCUUACUGGACUGUAACUGACGUUGAGGCUCGAAAGCGUGGGGAGCAAACAGGAUUAGAUACCCUGGUA
RNAcentral lists this ribosomal RNA (434 nucleotides) under uncultured Lachnospiraceae bacterium. RNAcentral describes it as "partial 16S ribosomal RNA". It matches the Rfam family "Bacterial small subunit ribosomal RNA", at positions 341 to 792 of the family's 1533-position model. The record is from RNAcentral. Lineage: Bacteria; Bacillati; Bacillota; Clostridia; Lachnospirales; Lachnospiraceae.